RNAcentral lists this ribosomal RNA (253 nucleotides) under uncultured bacterium. RNAcentral describes it as "partial 16S ribosomal RNA". It matches the Rfam family "Bacterial small subunit ribosomal RNA", at positions 524 to 776 of the family's 1533-position model. The record is from RNAcentral.
UACGUAGGGUGCGAGCGUUGUCCGGAAUUAUUGGGCGUAAAGAGCUCGUAGGCGGCUUGUCGCGUCGGAUGUGAAAGCCCGGGGCUUAACUCCGGGUCUGCAUUCGAUACGGGCAGGCUAGAGUUCGGUAGGGGAGAGCGGAAUUCCUGGUGUAGCGGUGAAAUGCGCAGAUAUCAGGAGGAACACCGGUGGCGAAGGCGGAUCUCUGGGCCGAUACUGACGCUGAGGAGCGAAAGCGUGGGGAGCAAACGGG